GAGUUUGAUUAUGGCUCAGGAUGAACGCUAGCUACAGGCUUAACACAUGCAAGUCGAGGGGCAGCAUGAAUAUUGGCUUGCCAAUAUUUGAUGGCGACCGGCGCACGGGUGAGUAACACGUAUCCAACCUUCCGGUUACUCGGGGAUAGGCUUUCGAAAGAAAGAUUAAUACCCGAUGUUGUGUAUCUUUCUCCUGAAAGAUACGCCAAAGGAUUCCGGUAACCGAUGGGGAUGCGUUCCAUUAGGCAGUUGGCGGGGUAACGGCCCACCAAACCUUCGAUGGAUAGGGGUUCUGAGAGGAAGGUCCCCCACAUUGGAACUGAGACACGGUCCAAACUCCUACGGGAGGCAGCAGUGAGGAAUAUUGGUCAAUGGACGGAAGUCUGAACCAGCCAAGUAGCGUGAAGGAUGACUGCCCUCUGGGUUGUAAACUUCUUUUAUACGGGAAUAACAUGAGGUACGGGUACCUUAUUGCAUGACCGUUAUGAAUAAGCUCGCA
Molecule: ribosomal RNA, 499 nt
Filed under: Bacteroides pyogenes
Lineage: Bacteria; Pseudomonadati; Bacteroidota; Bacteroidia; Bacteroidales; Bacteroidaceae
Description: bacterial SSU rRNA
Rfam family: Bacterial small subunit ribosomal RNA
Source: RNAcentral